This 492-nucleotide ribosomal RNA is filed under the name uncultured bacterium. Its description in RNAcentral is "partial 16S ribosomal RNA". It matches the Rfam family "Bacterial small subunit ribosomal RNA", at positions 28 to 507 of the family's 1533-position model. The record is from RNAcentral.
GAUGAACGCUAGCUACAGGCUUAACACAUGCAAGUCGAGGGGAAACGACAUCGCAAGCUUGCUUUUGAUGGGCGUCGACCGGCGCACGGGUGAGUAACGCGUAUCCAACCUGCCCAUCACUUGGGAAUAACCUUGCGAAAGUAAGACUAAUACCCAAUGAUAUCCCACGAAGGCAUCGGAAUGGGAUUAAAGAUUUAUCGGUGAUGGAUGGGGAUGCGUCUGAUUAGCUUGUUGGCGGGGUAACGGCCCACCAAGGCAACGAUCAGUAGGGGUUCUGAGAGGAAGGUCCCCCACAUUGGAACUGAGACACGGUCCAAACUCCUACGGGAGGCAGCAGUGAGGAAUAUUGGUCAAUGGGCGAGAGCCUGAACCAGCCAAGUAGCGUGCAGGAAGACGGCCCUAUGGGUUGUAAACUGCUUUUAUAAGGGAAUAAAGUGGGUCACGUGUGACUUUUUGCAUGUACCUUAUGAAUAAGGACCGGCUAAUUCCGUG